RNAcentral lists this ribosomal RNA (321 nucleotides) under Bacillus paralicheniformis. RNAcentral describes it as "bacterial SSU rRNA". It matches the Rfam family "Bacterial small subunit ribosomal RNA", at positions 1 to 311 of the family's 1533-position model. The record is from RNAcentral. Lineage: Bacteria; Bacillati; Bacillota; Bacilli; Caryophanales; Bacillaceae.
UUCAUGGAGAGUUUGAUCCUGGCUCAGGACGAACGCUGGCGGCGUGCCUAAUACAUGCAAGUCGAGCGGACAGAUGGGAGCUUGCUCCCUGAUGUUAGCGGCGGACGGGUGAGUAACACGUGGGUAACCUGCCUGUAAGACUGGGAUAACUCCGGGAAACCGGGGCUAAUACCGGAUGCUUGAUUGAACCGCAUGGUUCAAUUAUAAAAGGUGGCUUUUAGCUACCACUUACAGAUGGACCCGCGGCGCAUUAGCUAGUUGGUGAGGUAACGGCUCACCAAGGCGACGAUGCGUAGCCGACCUGAGAGGGUGAUCGGCCAC